Molecule: long non-coding RNA, 1570 nt
Organism: Lolium perenne
Lineage: Eukaryota; Viridiplantae; Streptophyta; Magnoliopsida; Poales; Poaceae
Source: RefSeq, a predicted model, not a curated record
AGUUGUUUUCCAGUGUAUGUAUGCAUAUUUGAAAACUAGAAGUGAAAUAUCCUCCAUGACAAAAGAGAUAUGCUUAUAGACCAUUCCACAAUGACUGUUUUGUUUACUGAUGUUAAUUAGCUCUUUAGGAACUAAGUAACUCAAUUCAAGGGCCAAUAGAUACUUGAAUUUUCUAUAGUGUCCCUUUCAAUAAUUUUUCCUAUAGAAUUUUGACUGACGGGUAAACUUUGAAACCUUCUGUGAGAUUGCAUUAGACUCCACAAUAGCAUUACAACAUCUGGACUUAUUUCUCUCGGAUAUAUAAAAGUUUAUUCUACUUCCGUCAGAACUAUUGAUAAAUAUAUAAUAUUACUUGUUGAUUAGCUUAAAAUAUAUGUACAAUGAGCAACCAUGGGAGUAUAAGUAUCUAUGCAUACAUUCCAUGGUUUUAUUUAUUGGCUAAUGUAUAGCUUUAUAGAGUUUGCAGACUUCAAAAUAAUUGGCUAAAUGUUUGACAUACAUUUCUCUUAGUUGCUCGUGUUCAGGUAUACAUCAGCUUUUCAUAAUUUCUUUCAGAUCAUCAUUUUUCAGCGAUCCAGAAUAGGAAUAGGAAUAGUAAUAGUAAUAGUAAUACACUGCCAAGAAGAUAGCAUUCUGUCACUCUUUAUUCCUAUUUGUGAAAUUUUGUAGGGAAACCCUGUUCUGAUAUGUUAGCUGAUGUUUUCGAUUAUCAACAAGACAAUCUUUGUGGUCUUUCAAUUCUGUGUGUGUAGCACUGCCAAAAAGUGUUUUUGAGUUGUUCAACUUUGUAUUUGUAACAAUUGGCGCUUCCAUAACGUGUCUAUAUAUAAGCAAGACCACACAUUUGAGAAAUGAUGAGCAAGAACAUAUAUAGGCAUGCAUUGGUCAGACACGCUAGGUGAGCCAGAUAAUGAUGCAAAACAUCUUUGCCUUUAAGACUAUGAGUCACGAUAUUUCUAUAAGUACUUUUGAUAAAUUACUUAUCUACUUUUAACUGGGGUUAACAAAUAACCUAUGCAGGAAAGGGUUUCAAAUUGUUUUCAACAUCAAGGGGACGUGAUCAAGCAACAGAAGAAAGCGUAGAAAAGACCAUCUGAUGUUGAAAAGAUAAAACACUUACCUGCAAUGCUACAAGUGAUACGAUAUACUCUGAGCACUCACUGUAAGAAGGGAGCAACUGCGGAGGUCGUCGCCGCCACUAUCAGCACAAAUCGUGCUCAUUGCCUGAGCACAAAUCAGGUAUCAUGUCCAGGAGCUGAAGACUGGUGCACUGUCUGGCCACGACAUCAUCACGCUGCAGUUAUGUACCACCAGAUUGUUCAUCAACCUACCCAUCCGACAAGUGUUCUACUAAAUGCGGUCAUAAAUUUGUUAUCUUUUUUGUUGUUGAACAAUAACGAAGGACAAACAUUGUCACUUCCUCAAAGAAGUGAGCAGAUUGAGAGGGGCCUUGGGGGACAAUAAAGGGUGUAGGCACAUCACUAGCGAGUUUGGCAGCCAAGAAGAUAACUCUCCACCUAUGAUACCUAUUGGAAAGUAUUUACAUUCAUAGCAUUUCUUGGGACGGUAA